This is a long non-coding RNA of Homarus americanus (American lobster), 2458 nucleotides long. RefSeq lists it as uncharacterized. The transcript is spliced from 2 exons. Lineage: Eukaryota; Metazoa; Arthropoda; Malacostraca; Decapoda; Nephropidae. The record is from RefSeq and is a predicted model, not a curated record.
GGCCUGGGCUGGUCUCUUGCCAAACUGUGUGAGGUCACGUAGGUCGCGCGGUUCAGUAACUCGUCCGUAGAUGUUGGUAUGAAGGGCCUCACAUGGUCAUGGAGACACCGGGUGGUGUGGUGUUCAAAUAUCAUGCCCGUGAAUAAUGAGCAGGUAUACAAUAGUUGUAUCCGUGAAUAAUGAGCAGGUAUACAAUAGUUGUAUCCGUGAAUAAUGAGCAGGUAUACAAUAGUUGUAUCUGUGAAUAAUCAAAUCUGUGAAAGUUUAACCCAUGAAUGUUGAGGGUUUACAAUACACAAAAUUUUCUUCAUUUUUAUACUCCUUUACAUGCACACACAAUCCUACAUACAGAAAGUUAAAAAAGAAAUGAUUAUCGUAAGGUAUAAAGCUCUACGUAUCUAUGGGCUUCCACCGUUAAACCAUGUAGUGAGUGAGUGGAGGUCAGAGAGUUUGCGGCGGAGCUCCGUUGCUAAGGCGAGUAUCGGGCAGGUAACACUUCUGAAUCACCUGAUAUGGAUUCCCCAGUGAAUUUCACAUUGUGCAGGCUCUAUCUUUUCUAAAAGUUUCAAACCAGCCCUUACUGUCAAGGUUUAAGUUAUGCAUCUGUAAUGCUUCCCUCACCCACACUUUCAACAAGGUGACUGUACAUCCGCCUGGCCUUCACACGUAUCACCUGAGAAAUUAAAGGCACACUUCUGGGCCUGGUCUUCCAUCCAUAUGUUCAGUGCCUUUUCCAUUUUUCUAGAUUAUGGUCCUGUGCCAUCAGCAACACGAUCCCUUAUUGUAGCUUUACUCUUCUUAAUGGUACGAAUUGAGGAUUUAUUUACCCCUAUGGUGCGUCCCACUAACGCUAUGCUUUUGCCAUGCGCUAGUCUAUUGAGCACUUAAACUUUCUUUUCUAAUGUUAUUACGUUCCCUGCCCUUUUCACUUUCUUCUCACGCCUAGGGGCCAUAGUUAAGGGCAAAAUCAAUGUUAUUCCAGUAUAAAAUACGUAAUAUAAUAUAUAGAGCAUUGAGAGCAGAGACGGGACACUGUGCAGAUGAAUACAUUGGAACACGGAGGGAAAAAAACGCAGUGCUAACCCGUGGAUACUCUGAAUCCACGAAUGGGAAAUCCAUGGUUGGCGAGGGACUGCAUAUUUAUGUGUGAGUGUGUGUGUUAACCCCUUUUGUAUGGGGUCCCCACAGAGUUGAAUAAAAUUGUCUAGCAUUAGCCAGAUGAAUUAUUAAAAGUGGUGUCCCCAUAGUGAAGGGGUUAAUUCCAACUGAAUUGUGUUGAUGGUAUUGCUGUAACUCUCACCAAUAUGUCAAGAGUUCAAGCCUUGGCCUGGGCACACUUGUGAAGGUUGUUAACCAGUGUGACACUACCAAACAUUACAGGCUUCCUGGUCCCCAGUUUCCUCCUGUACUAACACUGGGUAGACCAACUGCCCAAAUGACUGUUAACCUGAUAAGUGGCAAAAAUUAUAUUAAAAAAAUAUAAGUAAUAUCUCCGUUAGCCAGAACAAUAAUUGGUGCAGAGCACAUCUGGGAAUGAGAGAUUUCCGGGUAAUGAGACGACGACUCUCAAAGCCGGAAAAAACUCUCAUCCCUGGAAUUUUCCGGGUAAUGGAAAAAAUUUCUUGAAAAUUCAAGAAAUUGUCCAGUGCAUCAUCUCUGGAACCCAGAAAAAUUUCUCCCAUCCCCCGAAUUUUCUUGGUACCGUAAAAUUUUUCUUUGAAUUUCCAGAAAAUGCGCCCGAUUUUCAUCUCUGAAACCUGGAGAAAAACUCCCCCAUCCCCGGAAUUUUUUGGGUAUGGGGAAAUUUUUUUUCAGAAUUUUCCGGAAAAUGUGCCCCUGGAAAAUUUCAAUUCCGGCUAUCAGAGUUCCGGGAUUGGGGGAUUCCGGCUGACGGAUAUAUUACUGUACCUGUACUGUAUACUAUUUUGUCCCACCGUUAUCUUUCUAUGCAUUUAAAAAAAAAGAGAUAUAUAGUACUGGAAAUCUCUCUGUUAAAAUGCAUAGAUAUUUAAGUUUCUGAACCAUUGUAAUGAUUUGUAUUGAAUUUUCUACUUAAUGAAUAUUUAAAUAUAUUUUUCAUACUUAUAAAUGCUGAAUGAAUGCUUGCACUGAAAACAUUGUGGGAAUUAAAAUAUAUGAUAAGUUAUACUGAAUAAAAGUAUUUGUAUUCCAUCUAGUUAUAUAGGUCUUCCUUAACAUAUUUGUGCCUUAAAAAACUAAUGAUAUUAUAUGGGUCAAAUUUGGCAUUGAACAUUUAGAAAUUUAGUUAUGCCAUUGUUUUAAGUAAAACCAAAUUUUACUUGCCAAUUAAAAAUAAAUUUGUUGUGUGUGUGGGUGGGUAUUUGUAAACUUUAUCUUGUCUGGAAUCUUACCAAAACUCCUUUACUAAUACAGAUAUGGUGAUGAAGCUUGCAGGAAUAUGUAUCAUCAAUGGACAAAAUACAGAACACCAAAUUUG